UCCCUCAUGUUUCUGAUUUGGUCUACGAGAACCCCAAGAGCCCACCCCCUGCUGCAGCCAAGCAUUCUUCAAUCGCGACACAGUAAGCAUUUAGAUUGAAAUUAGGGUUUCUUCUGAUUGCAAUUUUUAUGCUCUCAAGCUUCCAUCAGAUGGUGCAGUUUAUCACCAGGACGUCUUCCUUCUCCCGCGAGUUCAAGGAAACCAUCAUCUUCAUCAUCGCAGGACAAUGCCAGGCCACUCAGUAAAGUUAGAGAAACUUCAUUGGCUCUAGGUUAGGCUAAAUGUCAGAUUUUGAGACGCAUUUAUUCAGUUCAUAUGUUUUACUUCAUAUUUCUAUGACAUUGUGCACUACUGUUUUAAUUCAUUAGUGUAAUUUAGGAUUUAGGGGCAUUUGCAGAUGAAUCAGCACUCGCCAAUAUAGGCUCCACUGUAAAUCCUCUUUCAUACAUUAAAUGAUUUUUUUUAUGUACAUAUAAAUCAACUAAAGAUGAGGCAACAUUCACCAUCAGUGGUGUUGGAACAUAGCGUGCAUGGACGGCCUUGAGAAGAGGAUCAGACGAAUCACCAGUGAUGUUUGUGUGUCUAAUCGCUAAUUGAAUCUGGAGUUGCGCAUAUGUUUUUAAUCAAAAGAAAAGUUGAAGAGAUAAUGAAUGAUUCUAACUAUGGAAUCAUCGAGAAGAAAGAUACACUCCUAUCAGCCUUAUCCGAACCCAAUUCCGACACGAUUCCGAUCCAACAGUUAUACCUAAUUUGGAGAUGCAGGUAGAUAAAAUGGCGGAAGGGCGUCAAAAUGGUGAAAAUUCAAACCCUCCACCUUCCUCGAAGUGGACAAGAGCAUCGCAGAUCCAUAAUAUGUUUGAGAAGGCAUGAAGAUAUGGAUACCAGUGAAAAUGAAAAGCUCACUGCAAAGCUCGAGCCACUUGAGGUAUAUAAUAACUGAUUUCUAAAAAAGUGAAGAUAGUUCAUAAAAACUUGUGUUCAAAUUGGAAAUGUUUUCUUGUCAAGGCAUGGUAUAGUAAUGUUCAUAACCAUGAAAAAAGUGAAGAUAGUUUGAUUCAGAAUUUUAAAAAUAACACAUCUCUGGAGUCCAUGUUCCAUACAACGUGGCAAUUUUGACCCAUUUAGUUAUGAACGGGUCAAUGCCAUCCUGUAUUACCUCAUAGAGGGAAAGUAAUUAAGAAAAGAACUAGCCAAAAAGGAAAUGGGUCAAAAGUUGCCUAAAGUGUAUGUUUCAUGCAUAAAACCUUCUAAAUCAUCUUAGAAUUCAAAGAAUUAAAUAAGUACUUGUAUGUUUCAUGCAUAAAUCCCCUUUUCAAAUGGUAGAUAUUGUAGUGGUGUGGAUCUCGGAGCUGUUGCUACAUCUAAAAAAGUUGCAGGUACAUUUUCACAACUUCUUCACCUUCAGGAAAUGUAAAAAAAUAGCUCCUAGAUAUCGACCCAGAUUCACGCUCAACUGUUUUGGUAAUCAUUGGCAUCCUAUGGUAAAGUCAAUGUGAAGGUUGGGAACAACAAUCACAUGUUUUGCUGGGCAUGUGUCGGACGCUAUUAUUGUUUGUGUAGAAAGGUGUUUAAGCGCUACUCACGACAUUUUGGUCCAAAGGGUUGCAAACAAAAUACGGUUGGAUAGUUACAUUUCUUUAAUGAGUUGCAUUUCAUUUGUAGUGUUCUUGGGUUGCAUAAAUCAGCGGAAGGGCGAUACAUGGUGCCCACUUAGAGCAGUGACUGUUGUAUAACAAGCAACAACAGUAGGUGAUCUGGAUUGUACAAAGGAGCAGGUGGUUGAGGGACGGUGUAACUGAUAGCGAAUGAUGGAGGUGAAUAGAAGACGUAUGAUGCGAAGGUUUGGGUGACGUCAUGGAUGACUUUAAGGAAUUGCAGGGUUUCGGGGUUAUUCAUGCAUACUUUCACCUGGUAAUUUUUGUUUAAUGUUUUAAAAAAAUUAAAUAAGUUGAGGUGAACCUGUUCAAGUUUGUCAACAUUGUGAUGCCCAGUUUUGGAUGAGGACGUGUUUUUAGAUCUUCCACACAGUAAAGGCCAGUCUAUAAUCAGUGUUGCAAAGUUUCGCGAGUUGGACAACACCUUUCAAAUGAGCAUUAUAUCAUAAGCUUCGGUUCGAAAUAGUCAACUUCAUUGACAACAUCCGGGUAUGUAACUCAGUGUUCUUGAUGACCUUAUGACCGUACGUUUUUAGAGUUAAAGACCAAAUUUGUCACUGGCUAGGUUCUUUAUGUUUUCAUGCACAUGAAAAAUCCUAAUUCUUGCAAGUCAGUGUUCUUAAUCGCUAAUCGUUUUUUUUAUUAGAUGUGUAUGCGAUUUGUUCUUAAUUGAACGUUUCAUCGAUCUGGAUGUUGCAAUGUGUAAAAACGGACGUGAGUUGUGGUGCUACUUUGACUACUAAGGAGAAAUCAGCUGAGAAGAUUUAAUCAGUUUCAGCAUCGACGUGAUUUGACUAAUGUUAAGAAAUGCCCAUUAGAUGACGAUGAUCCAUUUUAUGUUUUUGGGUAUGUUUAGAAUUUAGUUAACAACAAUGACAUGAACUAUUGAGGAUUUUAUGAUUCUGUUGGUUGUUACAUAUAUUAUCAUAGUAAAUUGAGAACAAUUUUCCAAGAAGAAUGUUUGUGACAUUUAGAUAGA
This is a long non-coding RNA of Helianthus annuus (common sunflower), 2634 nucleotides long. RefSeq lists it as uncharacterized. Lineage: Eukaryota; Viridiplantae; Streptophyta; Magnoliopsida; Asterales; Asteraceae. The record is from RefSeq and is a predicted model, not a curated record. The transcript is spliced from 6 exons.